UUGCAAUGAUGUAUGAAUUUCUUCACCUGAAGUACAUUGUGUAGAUUAUAACAUGAGCUUUUUAACACUGAGCAAU
Molecule: small nucleolar RNA, 76 nt
Organism: Pseudophryne corroboree (corroboree frog)
Lineage: Eukaryota; Metazoa; Chordata; Amphibia; Anura; Myobatrachidae
Source: RefSeq, a predicted model, not a curated record